RNAcentral lists this ribosomal RNA (424 nucleotides) under uncultured prokaryote. RNAcentral describes it as "bacterial SSU rRNA". It matches the Rfam family "Bacterial small subunit ribosomal RNA", at positions 355 to 796 of the family's 1533-position model. The record is from RNAcentral.
UGGGGAAUAUUGGACAAUGGGCGCAAGCCUGAUCCAGCCAUGCCGCGUGAGUGAAGAAGGCCUUAGGGUUGUAAAUCUCUUUCACCGGUGAAGAUGAUGACGGUAGCCGGAGAAGAAUCACCGGCUAACUCCGUGCCAGCAGCCGCGGUAAUACAGAGGGUGCGAACGUUGCUCGGAUUUACUGGGCGUAAAGCGCGUGUAGGCGGACUCGCAAGUCGGUUGUGAAAUCCCUGGGCUCAACCUAGGAACUGCAUCCGAAACUGCUUGUCUUGAGUAAUGGAGAGGGUGGCGGAAUUCCCGGUGUAGAGGUGAAAUUCGUAGAUAUCGGGAGGAACAUCAGUGGCGAAGGCGGCCACCUGGACAUUCACUGACGCUGAGACGCGAAAGCGUGGGGAGCAAACAGGAUUAGAUACCCGUGUAGUCC